Molecule: ribosomal RNA, 433 nt
Filed under: uncultured bacterium
Lineage: Bacteria
Description: bacterial SSU rRNA
Rfam family: Bacterial small subunit ribosomal RNA
Source: RNAcentral
AACGAACGCUGGCGGCAUGCCUAACACAUGCAAGUCGAACGAAGCCUUCGGGCUUAGUGGCGCACGGGUGCGUAACACGUGGGAAUCUGCCCUUCGGUUCGGAAUAACAGUUAGAAAUGACUGCUAAUACCGGAUGAUGACGUAAGUCCAAAGAUUUAUCGCCGAAGGAUGAGCCCGCGUAGGAUUAGGUAGUUGGUAGGGUAAUGGCCUACCAAGCCGACGAUCCUUAGCUGGUCUGAGAGGAUGAUCAGCCACACUGGGACUGAGACACGGCCCAGACUCCUACGGGAGGCAGCAGUGGGGAAUAUUGGACAAUGGGCGAAAGCCUGAUCCAGCAAUGCCGCGUGAGUGAUGAAGGCCUUAGGGUUGUAAAGCUCUUUUACCAGGGAUGAUAAUGACAGUACCUGAAGAAUAAGCUCCGGCUAACUCCGUG